CUGCAGCCCGAGUGGUGAUCGAUUUUAUUGAGCCUAAAGCGUCCGUAGCCGGACUAGUAAACCCUUGGGUAAAUUGGGCAGCUUAACUGUCCAAAUUCCGAGGGGACUGCUAGUCUUGGGACCGGGAGAGGUCAGAGGUACUCAAGGGGUAGGGGCUAAAUCCUGUAAUCCUUUGGGGACCACCAGUGGCGAAGGCGUCUGACUAGAACGAAUCCGACGGUAAGGGACGAAACCCUGGGGCGCGAACCGGAUUAGAUACCCGAGUAGUCC
Molecule: ribosomal RNA, 270 nt
Filed under: uncultured archaeon
Lineage: Archaea
Description: partial 16S ribosomal RNA
Rfam family: Archaeal small subunit ribosomal RNA
Source: RNAcentral